This 26-nucleotide non-coding RNA is filed under the name Homo sapiens (human). The record is from RNAcentral. Lineage: Eukaryota; Metazoa; Chordata; Mammalia; Primates; Hominidae.
UGAUCUGAUGUGGAACCAUGUUGGUA